ACACUUGCCGCACUUUUUGGUGCUCGCAUUCGCGGAUCUCGCGGAUGCAGUCAAACGGGAAACAGGGAGCGAAGUCCCCGAAGUCCGACCGGGACGAGCCAACCUGUGCUGCCCCCGCAACGGUAAGCGACCGCAACGCAAGUUGCAAGUCGUCCCUUGCGCGUUUUUAGCAUGGCGGGCGUGCCGAUUUUCAUUACGCGAAACCACUGCAAGAAACGUGUCGACGCCACUGCGCAGAUGCGCGGGAAGGCGGGACGAUCCGUCGCCAGCCCGGAUACCGGCCAGAGCCCGGCGCGCCCG
Molecule: non-coding RNA, 300 nt
Filed under: unidentified
Source: RNAcentral